GCGGGUGUGGCGGAACUGGCAGACGCACCAGACUUAGGAUCUGGACCCGGUAACACGGGAUAUGGGUUCGAGUCCCUUCACCCGCA
Molecule: transfer RNA, 86 nt
Filed under: Bacteroidetes bacterium RIFCSPLOWO2_02_FULL_36_8
Lineage: Bacteria; Pseudomonadati; Bacteroidota
Also listed under: 1 other name
Description: tRNA-Leu
Rfam family: tRNA
About the family: Transfer RNA (tRNA) molecules are approximately 80 nucleotides in length. Their secondary structure includes four short double-helical elements and three loops (D, anti-codon, and T loops).
Source: RNAcentral